This 1240-nucleotide long non-coding RNA is filed under the name Salvia miltiorrhiza (redroot sage). Its description in RNAcentral is "long non-coding RNA (SMIL_LNC004891)". Lineage: Eukaryota; Viridiplantae; Streptophyta; Magnoliopsida; Lamiales; Lamiaceae. The record is from RNAcentral.
UUAAGAUGCAUGGACGAAAACAUUAGUUAGUUUUAGCUGUAAUUUUCAACUCCAACUGUUAUUAUCAGGGUACUCAUUACUGACCUUUUCUUUUUUGGGGGGGUUGUUUCUCUUAGAUCGAUCUGACACCCCCACCUCUUGGCGAAGGUUCAUCUUAUAAAGGACUUCUCAAGGAUUUACGUCCAUCGUUAGACUGGUCUCCUGAACAUGGUUGGACAGUACCUACUCAGGUUUGUCAUAACAUCUCUUCUAAUAUUGUCUUUGUUCACCUUGAAGAAAUGAGUAGUUUGCUUGGCGCGGAACUGUUUUUGGUUAUUUUAUUGCGAUAUAGUAUAAGCCCACGUUUGGUUGGGCAUGUUUAGAGGUUGGAAAGGGAUUCAAUACUUGUUGUUUGGUUUGAGUAAUGAGUUAACCAUUACCCUUACUUGAGGGUAACCCAAUCACCCAAUUUGUUACCCUUCAAAAUAGAGGGGAAACAAAAGAAAAUGAAUCCCUUACUAAUGAUUCAUUUCCAUUGUUUAACCAAACAUUCAAUAAAAGUAAUGGUUAUUGUUAUCAUUCCACUCCUUUAUUUGAUUCCAUUUCCUUUCCAUUCCUCUACUUGAACCAAACGAGCACUAAUAGUAUUUUGCAAUAGUGGUCUAUGUUUAGGGAAGUUUUGAGUUGUAUAAGCAAUUCAUUUAGAUUAAUUUUCGAGUUGCAAUGCCUUCUCCUAAUAUGUAGUAAACUGCGUAAUAUAAAAUAUCCAUGUUGGCUGAUCUGUAAAUACAAACAUAAAUUGGAUAUAAGGCAGCGGAAGGUCAUUGUUUUUAAUUUGUAGAUUCUCUCUACUGUUCGACUUUUACUUUUCCGUUUCUUGUAAUUAUUGAUCAUCUAAUUUCACCUUCAACAUUAAGGUUUAGUAGUUAUCCUCCAAGUUCAUGUUCAUAAAUGUUUCAUGUAUUCAGUUUUUCUGUAAGGUCUGAAAGUAGAAUUAACUAAAGAAUAAAAGAUAAUAUAAUUCCAUAUUAAAGCAUUAUUUAUGUUACUAUAUCAUCCACCACCAUUUGCAGAUCAUUUGAGCCUCACUCAUAGGCUUAUACUUGUACAAUAUGAUGCUCUACAUUCUUGAUGUCUUCAUUUACUAAAAUGAUAACUUUUCUUUUCUUAUUUACAAAUUGCAGGAAGAUGACACCGGUCAUCGUUGUGCUCGCAUUAUCAAACCUGUAAAUCAAGGUACGAAGCAACAAAAUACAAUCAG